UACCAGCACCCCGAGUGGUCGGGACGUUUAUUGGGCCUAAAGCAUCCGUAGCCGGUUCUACAAGUCUUCCGUUAAAUCCAGCUGCUUAACAGAUGGGCUGCGGAAGAUACUAUGGAGCUAGGAGGCGGGAGAGGCAAGCGGUACUCGAUGGGUAGGGGUAAAAUCCGUUGAUCCAUUGAAGACCACCAGUGGCGAAGGCGGCUACCUGGACGACUACUGACGCUGAGACGCGAAAGCGUGGGGAGCAAACAGG
RNAcentral lists this ribosomal RNA (253 nucleotides) under uncultured bacterium. RNAcentral describes it as "partial 16S ribosomal RNA". It matches the Rfam family "Archaeal small subunit ribosomal RNA", at positions 474 to 727 of the family's 1478-position model. The record is from RNAcentral.